UACGUAGGGCGCAAGCGUUGUCCGGAAUUAUUGGGCGUAAAGAGCUCGUAGGCGGCUUGUCACGUCGGAUGUGAAAGCCCGAGGCUUAACCUCGGGUCUGCAUUCGAUACGGGCUAGCUAGAGUGUGGUAGGGGAGAUCGGAAUUCCUGGUGUAGCGGUGAAAUACGCAGAUAUCAGGAGGAACACCGGUGGCGAAGGCGGAUCUCUGGGCCAUUACUGACGCUGAGGAGCGAAAGCGUGGGGAGCGAACAGG
RNAcentral lists this ribosomal RNA (253 nucleotides) under uncultured bacterium. RNAcentral describes it as "partial 16S ribosomal RNA". It matches the Rfam family "Bacterial small subunit ribosomal RNA", at positions 524 to 776 of the family's 1533-position model. The record is from RNAcentral.